Non-coding RNA from Pelobates cultripes (western spadefoot toad), 349 nucleotides. Lineage: Eukaryota; Metazoa; Chordata; Amphibia; Anura; Pelobatidae. The record is from the annotation of a GenBank genome assembly.
CAUUUAUUCGUGUUUGUAGGGGACGUUUCGUUCUACCAACAUAGAAUAAAUUACAAGAACACUUUAAAACGUAUAUGACCCUCUUAGAAAAACACGUGAUCAUUUGGCGUAUCUUGUAUUUCUUCUCCCCUUUUGGGUCAUAGAAUUCUGUAAUGUGCCUUUUUGUGCUUCUACAAGCUAGACACUGUCCACAGCCAAAAAAACCUUCUUUCUGAAAAAAGGGAGUAGGUGUAUUUUCUUUAAUAUGGUUGUGUGUCAGUUUUCGUUUUAAGUUGGGAGCUCCUCUAUAUACUAAUUUCGGUCUCUCUGGUAAUAUAGAGUGUAGCAUAGGAUCGUUCCUUAGCAUGGG